UUGACAGCCAUGUAGACAGAAGUUUUAUUUAUCCACAGAACAAGUACAGCAUGAACAGCAGCAAUUCAAAUAUCUCACUACUGAUUUGCCUCAGACUUGAACUGAAGGGAAAACCAUUGUGAUUGAGAUGUUACAGUAAAUUCGUCAUUUGUGCACAUCCCAUUCUUAGCCUUU
Molecule: small RNA, 174 nt
Filed under: Chrysemys picta bellii (western painted turtle)
Lineage: Eukaryota; Metazoa; Chordata; Testudines; Emydidae
Description: TUC338 (ENSCPBG00000007152.1)
Source: RNAcentral